This 465-nucleotide ribosomal RNA is filed under the name Vreelandella stevensii. RNAcentral describes it as "partial 16S ribosomal RNA". It matches the Rfam family "Bacterial small subunit ribosomal RNA", at positions 338 to 795 of the family's 1533-position model. Lineage: Bacteria; Pseudomonadati; Pseudomonadota; Gammaproteobacteria; Oceanospirillales; Halomonadaceae. The record is from RNAcentral.
CCUACGGGGGGCUGCAGUGGGGAAUAUUGGACAAUGGGGGCAACCCUGAUCCAGCCAUGCCGCGUGUGUGAAGAAGGCCCUCGGGUUGUAAAGCACUUUCAGUGAGGAAGAACGCCUGGUGGUUAAUACCCAUCAGGAAAGACAUCACUCACAGAAGAAGCACCGGCUAACUCCGUGCCAGCAGCCGCGGUAAUACGGAGGGUGCGAGCGUUAAUCGGAAUUACUGGGCGUAAAGCGCGCGUAGGUGGCUUGAUAAGCCGGUUGUGAAAGCCCCGGGCUCAACCUGGGAACGGCAUCCGGAACUGUCAAGCUAGAGUGCAGGAGAGGUAGGUAGAAUUCCCGGUGUAGCGGUGAAAUGCGUAGAGAUCGGGAGGAAUACCAGUGGCGAAGGCGGCCUACUGGACUGUCACUGACACUGAGGUGCGAAAGCGUGGGUAGCAAACAGGAUUAGAUACCCCGGUAGUC